AGAGUUUGAUCCUGGCUCAGAGCGAACGCUGGCGGCAGGCUUAACACAUGCAAGUCGAGCGGGCGUAGCAAUACGUCAGCGGCAGACGGGUGAGUAACGCGUGGGAACGUACCUUUUGGUUCGGAACAACACAGGGAAACUUGUGCUAAUACCGGAUAAGCCCUUACGGGGAAAGAUUUAUCGCCGAAAGAUCGGCCCGCGUCUGAUUAGCUAGUUGGUGAGGUAACGGCUCACCAAGGCGACGAUCAGUAGCUGGUCUGAGAGGAUGAUCAGCCACAUUGGGACUGAGACACGGCCCAAACUCCUACGGGAGGCAGCAGUGGGGAAUAUUGGACAAUGGGCGCAAGCCUGAUCCAGCCAUGCCGCGUGAGUGAUGAAGGCCCUAGGGUUGUAAAGCUCUUUUGUGCGGGAAGAUAAUGACGGUACCGCAAGAAUAAGCCCCGGCUAACUUCGUGCCAGCAGCCGCGGUAAUACGAAGGGGGCUAGCGUUGCUCGGAAUCACUGGGCGUAAAGGGUGCGUAGGCGGGUCUUUAAGUCAGGGGUGAAAUCCUGGAGCUCAACUCCAGAACUGCCUUUGAUACUGAAGAUCUUGAGUUCGGGAGAGGUGAGUGGAACUGCGAGUGUAGAGGUGAAAUUCGUAGAUAUUCGCAAGAACACCAGUGGCGAAGGCGGCUCACUGGCCCGAUACUGACGCUGAGGCACGAAAGCGUGGGGAGCAAACAGGAUUAGAUACCCUGGUAGUCCAA
RNAcentral lists this ribosomal RNA (746 nucleotides) under uncultured bacterium. RNAcentral describes it as "bacterial SSU rRNA". It matches the Rfam family "Bacterial small subunit ribosomal RNA", at positions 8 to 798 of the family's 1533-position model. The record is from RNAcentral.